Acanthopagrus latus (yellowfin seabream) is the source of this 539-nucleotide long non-coding RNA. RefSeq lists it as uncharacterized. The record is from RefSeq and is a predicted model, not a curated record. NCBI's taxonomy places the organism in Eukaryota, Metazoa, Chordata, Actinopteri, Spariformes, Sparidae. The transcript has 4 exons.
CUCAUCAGCUCUCCUGUCUGCUGUGAGGCUCCAGCAGCCUCUCAGCUUCCUGUUCACCUGUCAGGUUUGAUCUGGACCUCCAGGCGAACGUGUUGAAGUCUUCUCCUCGCCGACGCCGACGCUCCACUCAUCAAGGUGUGAUGAAAACUGCAGCUACAGUCGAGAAGAGUCGCAGCAGUGAAUCGUUUUACUUCCACUGAAGUUAGCCGGAGUUCUUCAGAGAGCGGUUCUGUGGGCCCGGGUCAUCUCACACUUUGGACCAGGACUCUGCUCCAAAAGGCCUCCAGCUCCAAUUCUGGAUGAAACUCACGGACCUGUCGACGUCUGGAACAGUUUGAUGAGGUCACACUUCCCUGAUGACGGUUAUUGUGACGGAGGAGCUUCGAUGAACCUGGACCUAUUCUGGACUCUCCGGCUCUCCGUCCACUCAGAGAUCUGCUCUGUCGAGACGGUUUACUGUUGUUAAACUCAAAUACUACCUGAUUUAUUUAACCCCUAAUGGCAAAUAAUAAAUAGAUCUUUGUUUAUCUGAUGAUAAA